GUGAGACAGUUCGGUCCCUAUCCGCUGUGCGCGUAGGAAUAUUGAGAAGGGCUGUCCCUAGUACGAGAGGACCGGGACGGACGAACCUCUGGUGUGCCAGUUGUUCUGCCAAGGGCAUGGCUGGUUGGCUACGUUCGGAAAGGAUAACCGCUGAAAGCAUCUAAGCGGGAAGCCUGCUUCGAGAUGAGUAUUCCCACCAACUUGAUUGGUUAAGGCUCCCAGUAGACGACUGGGUUGAUAGGCCAGAUGUGGAAGCCCGGUAACGGGUGGAGCUGACUGGUACUAAUAGGCCGAGGGCUUGUCCUC
This 306-nucleotide non-coding RNA is filed under the name Streptomyces atratus. RNAcentral describes it as "bacterial LSU rRNA". It matches the Rfam family "Bacterial large subunit ribosomal RNA", at positions 2621 to 2925 of the family's 2925-position model. The record is from RNAcentral. Lineage: Bacteria; Bacillati; Actinomycetota; Actinomycetes; Kitasatosporales; Streptomycetaceae.